UAUCGAUUGUGUGUUGAGAGCAAUGGGGGCAAUGCCGGAAGGAAGAAAGUGUAUUACUUGCAUUGGUUACCGUAUUAAUGAAUCAAAGCGAAAUUCUUUAGGCAAGUGUUCUGCAAUGCUUAAGAGGCUGUUAAGUAAAUGGCAAAUUGAUGAGAUUAUGGAAUUGGAGAAGUUAUGUCAAGCUAAUCAGCUUCCACCCCAUCUUGUGAGCGUGAAUGGUAAACGUCUUUCCCUUAGAGAGUUGUUCGACUUGCAAAGCUGUGCAUAUCCACCAAAGAAGUUGAGACCAGGGAAGUACUGGUAUGACAAGGUGUCUGGAUUAUGGGGAAAGGAGGGACAUAAGCCCUGCCAGAUAAUUUCUCCCCAACUAGCUGUUGGUGAUACAAUUAAGAAAGAUGCUAGCAAGGGAAACACAAAUAUUGUGAUAAACAGUCGAGAAAUUACUCAAUUAGAGCUGUAUAUGUUGAAGCUGGCAGGAAUAAACUGUGAAGGAAACGUUUGUUUUUGGCUCAGUGCUGACGGAUCCUGCCAGGAAGAGGGCAUGAACAAUGUAGUUGGAAAAAUAUGGGACAAGACUACACACAAGAUGCUUUGCCAUGCUUUGAGAUUGCCUAUUCCUCCUGUGUCUGCAAAUUCUUCUGGUGAAGAAGUUGGAAGUGGAUUGGAGGCAGGUGACCCUUGCAGCACAGUUAGCAAAAAACUAAAUAAACUACUUCUUGCUGGUUGUGAUCAAUCGGGAACAAGUACUCUGUUCAAACAGGCCAAAAUUGCAUAUCACGUUCCUUUCUCAGAAGAAGAGCAUCAGAAUAUUACAUACACGAUUCAAAGAAAUUUGUAUAGAUAUAUUGCUAUACUCCUCGAAGGACGUGAAAGAUUUGAAGAGGAGUACCGUGUUGAAAUGAGGAAAAAACGGCUUGAUGAACCUGGCCCUUCAGCGCUUCCAGACCUGAUUGAAGAAGAGAUUGAAGGAGAGAAUGUCUAUUCCAUCAGCCCUAGACUGAAAAACUUUUCAGAUUGGCUUCUUCAAGCUAUGAUGUUAGGAAAUUUGGAGGUCAUUUUUCCUGCUGCCACUCGAGAGUACUCAGCCGUAGUUGAGGAGUUAUGGAAGCAUAAAGCAUUUCAGGCCACAUAUCAGCGGAGAAAUGAGCUAGAAAUGCUUCCUAGAGUGGCCAAUUAUUUCUUAGACCAUGCUGUUGAGAUUUCUAAGGUAGACUACAACCCUUCUGAUAUGGAUAAGUUAUACGCUGAAGGAAUUACUUCAUCCAAUGGUGUAGCAUCCAUGGAAUUUUCGUUCCCUAAUCCAACUCAGGAUAGUUACAUGGAGACAGUUGAUCAACAUUCGUCCUCAAUGAAGUACCAACUAAUAAGAGUACACGCGAGCUGCAUAGGGAAAAACUGCAAGUGGUUGGAGAUGUUUGAAGAUGUUGACCUUGUCAUCUUUUGUGUUUCCUUGACGGAGUACAGCGAAUAUCUAGAGGAUUACAAUGGAUUUUGCACAAACAAGAUGAUGGAAAGCAAGAGGCUCUUUGAGAACAUCGUCAGUCAUCCAGCUUUUGCCCCAAAACACUGCCUCUUACUAUUGAACAAGUUUGACAUACUAGAGGAAAUAAUUGAAGAAUUUCCCCUUUCUGAAUGUGAGUGGUUUCAGGACUUCAAUCCAGUGAUCAGUCGUCAUCCCAACAGCAAAACCAACAACAACAACCCCUCGUUGGCUCAACGUGCUUAUCAUUACGUAGCUGUGAAGUUUAAACGCCUAUAUAAUUCCAUCACAAAGCGAAAACUGUUUGUUUCACAGCUAACUGCUUUAGAGGCUGAAAGUGUUGAUGGAGCUCUUAAAUACACCAGGGAAAUUCUUAAAUGGGAUGAAGAAAGGCGUAAAGUUAUGCGCGAUUGGACAACAGAAAGCCCUGAGGCUAGCACAACACUGGAGGCUAGCACAACUACAUAGGAACUAUCAUUCUUUUGUUGAGUACACUUCUCCUUUUGGCUGUACAUAGUUUACAACAUAGCAGGAAGUCACUUUACUAAAAAUGUUUAGUUUUGAGUCUUCUCUUCUGCAUUUUGCAGAUACAAUCUUGUAAUACAUUCUUUUUAGCUUUUACUAAUAGGCUCUCGUUUCGACUUUGAGGACUCAUUUGGUUCAAGGUAUAAUGUAUAAUAAAUCUGAGCGAUA
This 2173-nucleotide unclassified non-coding RNA is filed under the name Hevea brasiliensis (rubber tree). The record is from RNAcentral. Lineage: Eukaryota; Viridiplantae; Streptophyta; Magnoliopsida; Malpighiales; Euphorbiaceae.